Long non-coding RNA from Uranotaenia lowii, 6603 nucleotides. RefSeq lists it as uncharacterized. The record is from RefSeq and is a predicted model, not a curated record. The transcript is spliced from 9 exons. Lineage: Eukaryota; Metazoa; Arthropoda; Insecta; Diptera; Culicidae.
UGGCAUUAGAUAGCUAUUCUGACCGAUCCACCUGAUGAACAGAAUUUUUUUCCGAUCUGGGAAGCAAUCAGGUCGGUGCAAAAAAUGUAAACAGUCAUCAAAUCAAAUUAUGCAGUUUUCUUUCUCAAUAACCAGUUGCUCCAACACUCCAAAUUCCGGUAAGAUAAAUUCAACGCCUUUUAGUUCCAUUCCGGCCAGUUUCGACAGCUCCAGAGUUAGUCGUACCUUCGACAUCGGAUCGACCGGGGAUUAAGCUGGUGGAAAUCAAAUAGCGAAACUGGUUGAUCAGCCCGCUGAUCUGAAGCAGGAUGAAGUGUUAUGUGCAUAGAGUUUUUCGAAUGUACGAUCGCAGGUUCUCAGCUGACACUGGCGACUGGUUCGCUUUACCAUGGACUUCGAAACCAACCGUACUUCUCAAAGGUGGUUCUCUCUUAAAUUUACUGCUCACUACAACCGGUGACAAAGUUCCGCCCUUCGUUAUCAAACAACAGCAACAGGCAGCGCAACAGCAGCAUCAAAGCGAACCGAGCAAAUUAACUUGGACGACAGUAGGACCAGGAAAAACCUUCCUCGAGUCAACAUUUUACCGCAUUUACAAUAAACUGCGGUGAUGUUCAAUCCAAAAAAUCAAUUGAUAUCUCGCUCCGGAUUGAAAGCUGGUGAUUUAACAGUUUCCAUAAAGAUCAGUGUCAAGUUAGAAGGAUCAUCGGGAGGACCUAUUUAGAUGCAAAGGUACCAGCAGCAGCAACAAUAGUUGCCAGAAACAGUGUUUUUGCUUGCCGAAUGUCGAUGGCCGAAAAAUUCUUAUCUGGCGCCGUCUUUCCUGCUCCUGAUGUUCAACAUCGUCGGAGGUCAUACCAGAUUCUGAAAAUUGGAAAGAUGCCAUCACAGAAGGCAACUUUAGAUUUUUUAGACAUUUGUACACUAUCGCUGCGGACCGCCCUGCCUUUCUAAUGGUUUCGAGGAUAAGAUUAUAAUGUUAUUACGGAACGUCCAGUUAUGGUUUAAUGAUGACCUGGAGAAAUUAAGGCGAGACAACUGAAAAUGGCCACAAACCGGUAAGAUAAAACUUUAUUAACCUUCCCAUGCCGUUCGGGUCAAUAUGACCCGAAGCGCACAUUUAAAAUCUCUUCAUCAUCAUUCCAAUAUACUGAAGAACUUGGAAUUUUGACAGACCAAGUAUGUUCUAUGAAAAUAAUGAUCAAAUUAACGUCAAAAAAUUGAAAUAUGAGUUUUGAAAAUCGGUUCAUUGGGAAAUGAAAUACAGCUAAGCAAAGCAAAAAUUGGAUAUCGUUUUUUUAAAGUUAGAUUUUUUUCUACCGGAAGAUCUGAGAUAGCGGUCAAAACAUUCAUUGGACCCCAACAUAUCUAUACACUGUCGGAUAGAUGGAUUCUUGACGAUUUCAAACAUCAAUGAAACACUUAAAUACAGAAAAGCUGUCAAAAGUUAUGAGCAUUUUAAAAAUAAAAUUGAUUUUUCGGACUUUUUGCUUUCUGAACCAGUUUCUGAUAACUUGGUAAUACAUAUCGACUUUAUUUUAAAAUUUUGAGUAAUAAGAACAAAUUACCUACACAAUGAAUAUAAUAUCAUCAAAAUCGGUUAACAUUUACAGCCAGGACAACGAAAUCAAACUUCAACUCAAAUUUCCCCGAAACGGAUAUUUUGCGAACGGCAUGGGAAGGUUAAAUAAAUAUGCCCUUAUUCUGCGCCGCGCGUGAGGUGACGAUAGUCGAGGCAUCUUACCCUCAUGGAACUCAAGUCACCUUAUUCAGAUAGUCGGGGUAAAUGAAGUGACGUUCAUUACCAAAACUCAUCCGAAGUGAUGUUCCUCGCCCAAAGCGACUCCUGGAAUCGAGUGACUCGACUAUCGUCACUUCACGUGCGGCACAGAUUAAGGGUCAUGAUGCUUUUUUAUAUUAAUGACAAUACAAUUUACUGCUACCUUAUCAUCGAGAACAAUCGUUCAGAGAUUGGUUGAUACUUUUUAUUAUGAGAAAAGUUUAGUUUAGUUUAGUUUAGUAAUUUAGUUUAGUAAAUUAUUUUAUUUUUGGUAAAAUGAUUCACAAGCGGCUGAUCUGAUUUUGAUUUAUUUUUUUUUCUUAUGCUAGCAACGGUACAACGAUGACACCAAAAUUGAUUGUAUCCCAUUUACCCGAAAAGCAUUGCCCAGAAUGAAUUUUUACCAGAAUGACAAAUACCCGAAAUCAAACCCCAGAAUGAAUCAUUUCCCAGAAAAAAAUUCCCCAGAAUGCACCAUUUACCAGAAAUUUUUUUCCCAGAAUGGACCAUUUCCCAGAAUUUUUUUCCCCAGAAUGGAACAUUUCCCAGAAUGGCACAAAUCCCAGAUUUUUUCCUCUUGUAUUUUUAUUUGUUUUUUUUUCUAAUGAAUUCUUGUAAAUUUCAUAUGAUUCGAAAUUCAUUUUUUCGAAAUGAUUUUUUUAAAUGAAACUACAACUUUGAAUUUUCCAACUAAAUUUAUUUUAGAACCAAUAUUGUGCUUUGUUUAUAGUUUAUGGUACUUUAAUUGAUUCAAUGCUUAAUGAUCCUUUAAAAAACCGUUUUGGUAUCCGACUCCUCACGCUGCGCGUUCGAACUUGAAAGACGUUUUGUCCUUCACGCUGUCGCGUGGCGGACGGGGCUAAGGGAUCACCCCUAGCUUUCACGCAGACCUAGGAAGCCCCGGCAGACCUAGACCAAUGUAAUGGGGCCGCCGCUUCCGACGGCGGGUCGGCGGCCACCUCGGAUUUGGGAGCUUCGGCGGCUUUGUGCCGCCUCAGCCCCUUCAUCCUCGUUGGUUGCGGCUUUGCCGCAAAAGAAUUAAGUUAUGAAACCCCAUUUUUUGUAACAAUUCCUUUUUUUUAUUACUUUCUAGUAAGGAUAAAUGUUUUCAAUUUUCUGGGAAAUGGUUCUUCUGGCGAAAAAAAUUCUGGUAAAUGGUUCUUUCUGGUGAAAAAAUUUCUGGGAAAUGGUACAUUCUGGCGAAAAUUUUUCUGGGGAAUGGUUCGUCUGGGGAAAAAAAUUCUGGGGAAUGGUUCUUUCUGGCGAUUGAAAUUCUGGGGAUUUUUCAUUCUGGGCAAUGGUUUUCGGGUAAAUGGAGUACAACCCCAAAAUUAGUUCGGCAACUUCAUUCACCGAAUCAGACGUCCGGCUACCACGAAGACGAUUCAUCCAUCCGCGCUACUAUAUUAUCCCGUCUGAUAAAGAUUUUGCUGAUAAAAUUAUGACGAGAUUGCUUGAUUGUCGAUUUUGACAAUCUUUGGAUGCCACCGGAGCCAGACGUAAACCAGCGUAAUGAUUAAGCAAUAAAAUGCUUUAGUGUUGUAGUACGAUUGAGUCUUAUGUUACGCCAGGUACCGAACUUUAACAAGUUUCAGUACCAUAGGGUCUAAAACAAGAGCUGAAAUAUGCUCAAGGCGGUUGCUCAAAUCAAUAGUUAUAAUCACGAAAACAAAACCUCAUCGCAUCACCCGGUUAAACCGUUCAAAUUUUCCUCGAUCAACGUGACGCUGGUUCCGAAUCAGCAACAGUUCGCAGCUGUCGGAAAACGGCUUCCUCCUCUUCGGCAACCUAGUCGACGGUCAGCUGGGAGGGCAUCCUAGAACUCAUCAACAUACCCGAGGGCUUAAAUUCACUCCUGUUCGGCUGUGUUAAAUUUGUCGACAACGAAACGCUUCCACCGCACACUAAGUUUCACUUCCAGGAACUGAUCACCCGGGUGGAGAAUCAAUCGCUCUCGCUACGUUCUGGGGGCAGAAAGAAUGUGCAUGACAAUGAGAAACUCCUGCGAGAAGUCGGUCAGUCACUGAAGCAAAUCUCGAACAGGUUUUUUUUGACUUGUACAACAAGAGUCGGUCACCGGUAGUAAAUGUCAUCGCAAUUUUCAUGUCGCCUGAAUAGCCGUUAUUAUUAAAUCUGGUUUCGGCUGACCAGCGUUAUUUUAAACAAUUGUUCGUUAUUCUGAGAUGGCCCCACGAGCUGCCCUCCGACUCUGUUUAAAUCGCAACUUAUCCGUGUUCAUGUUGACAAAAGGAGUUUCUUACCAAACGAUAAUAGGUGCAACAUGGAGAACAGUAGCCUCAAUGAAUCCAUGAGUAGCAUGGACAAAUCUCAGGUCGAUAGUAGCGGCCAGUGGCUAGGUUCGAAAAAAUAUUUUUAUUCAUCGGUUGGUUACGAGUCGAUCCGAGGCCUGGUUUCGAAAUUUUCAGUUGAACCAAAGCUGCAACAGUCCCAUAGGAGCAACAACGGUUCGAAGAGGCCCCCGUGUUGGAGGAGAUCGAGAUAGGUGAAUUUCCUCCUUCAAUAUCUACUAAUCACAGGAGGACUUCUUUAAUGAACGUCCUGCUUUGAAAACUGUGAAAUGUUCUACGAUGACGAUUCGCCGGUGGCCACAGCUGUUCAUAGAAUGUGCCAGCAUUUGGUGAGGCGUUGGGCUGAACUGACCGAGAAGCCGGCCACGCAACAACCAUAAAGACAGCAAUCGUCAUGAAAGCAGGAUCAACAACACUCCGGAUACUCAUCUAGAUGCCCGCAGUUAGCGUCAACCGUUUCAAUUAGUUUAUCAGAAGUUAGUUUGAACAGUUUGACGUUUACAAUGAAUUGUUAAAUUGAAACUCGGUAAGGUAGUAGAAAACCAAGGCCAAAAAUGACCUCCUAGUGGAAAUAACAGGUUGAUUUAAUAGGUCAUGUAAAAAACUGUAGGCAAAUAGGAUUGUAGCAUUGAGACUGCGUUAGAAAAUUCCCAAAAUGAAUGUUCACUCGGUUUUAAAAGGUUCAAUUUAGUUUGAAAAUUUCAAACGUUAAACCAGGAAAAAUUGUUAUUACUUUCUAUUAUUUUAUUAUAAUUAUACAAUUAUGUUUUUAUAGAGGAAUAGCUAUUUUGUCUUGCAUCCCAAAACUCUUUGAAUCAAUAAUAAUUGAAAAAAUUUAUCAACAAGUAAAAAAUAUUAUAACGAGUAAACAACAUGGUUUCUUCAAAGGACGCUCUACAGCAUCAAAUCUUCUCGAAUUCGUUACAUACGUUAUCGAUUCUAUGAGCAAAGGCUUUCAUGUUGAGGCUAUUUAUACCGACUUUAGCAAAGCCUUUGAUCGCAUUGACAUACCCCUUCUAAUCUUCAAAUUAAAAAAAAUUGGCUUUCAUCCAAAUCUUCUCUCCUGGUUACAAUCAUAUUUAACUGAUCGAACGCAAAUCGUUCGUUUCCAAAACGAAUUAUCCAAAUCUGUAGCUGUGACCUCUGGUGUGCCUCAGGGGUCUCAUUUAGGACCUCUGCUUUUCAUACUGUUCGUUAACGACAUUUCCUUUAUUCUAAAACGGAUUGAAUACCUAAUAUACGCCGACGAUAUUAAACUAUUUCUGAAAAUAAAAACAACCGAAGAUGUUGAAACAUUUCAAAACGAAAUCAAUGUUUUCUUCGAAUGGUGCAACAAAAGUUUACUUCAAUUGAAUGUUAAAAAAUGCAACUCUAUAUCAUUUAGCAGAAAGCAAAGUUACCCCAUCAUUGAAACAAAAUUAGGCAAUCAACCAGUACAAAAAUGCAAAAUUGUAAGAGAUCUCGGCGUCAUACUGGAUUAAAAACUCACGUUUGUAGAACAUCAGAACAAUAUCAUCAAUAAAGCAAAUUGCAUGCUAGGAUUUGUAAAACGUUUCAGCAAACACUUUCAAGACCCAUACACCAUAAAAUCACUUUAUAUAUCCUAUGUUCGUUCGAUAUUGGAGUAUUGUAGCAUCAUAUGGAAUCCUUAUUCAAAUAUUCACGAGCAACGUCUCGAAUCAGUUCAAAAACAAUUUUUGUUAUAUGCGCUACGUAAAAUAAAUUGGACCACUUCUCCUCUGCCAUCGUACACGCAGCGAAAAGAUUUUUUAUUUCAAAGGAAAGUGUCGCAAAAACAAAGGAUUUUUUCCUUUGAUUUUGGGAUAAAUAAAAAUUCCUUUGUUUCAAAUGAAUUUUUCUUUGUUUCGAAGAAUUUUUCUUUUGAAAAAUCUUUGAAUCAAAAUUCUAAUCCUUUGAAACCAAAAACAUUUUCGUUUGAUACAAAGUUGUUUUCGUUUGCUACAAUGUAACAUAGAUUUAGAUUUAAAAGCAUUCAUUCAUUGAACUCUUUCCCAUUUAUUCCAAUUGGAAGAAAUAUUUUCAGUUGUUCCGAAGUUCCUAUUAGGAAUAUUAAAUAAUAAAAAGAAAAAUAUAAAAUUUUAAUUCUUUUUUAUUCACGAACUUAAAAAAAACACUUGUUCACUAUAUAAAUAAUUGAAUGAUCCGAUCCUAAAUUUCGGUGACAAAGUUUACCAGUCUGGCGUAGAGGCAUUUCUUCGUGAGCUGACUUCCGGAAGCAAGUCUCGUUGCUGGCUUUCCUCGCUAUCCGACUGGUGGUUGCCGCUGAAGAUCGGGCCGAAGAUAAACUAACCGCUGAAUUUCGGGUGGAAUCAGCAGUGGACCUGUAACAAUGCAAACGCUUAUAGAAAUUCUUAAAUAUUCCCUUUUUUAUUCACGGAUACACUUACCAUUCUUCAUCCUGAAUUCUCCUUAGCUAACUCUGAUUAACUGGUUUAGAUUUUUAACACAACCUACCAAACUCAAUUCUAUUUUUCUGCUUUAUUCAUCUUGCUC